UUUUGUGUAUGUAUUUGAGGUCUUAGGUUUAAGUCUUACUUUUGAAAAAUAUGUUAUUGUUGGUCUUAACCUUAUCCCUCUUAGGUGGGCUUAUGUUAUAUUUUUGGUAAGCUCAUCUCAAAAUGAACCUGUUGGUUCGAGUGGUAAGGUGUUAGCUUGUUGAGGGUCUCGUAUUCGAAUUCUUGCGUGAGUGUAGAUGGUAAAUUUUGCUUCGGUUGGCUGAUAAGAGGUUCGGUGAGACUGAAAGUCUGUGGUAGUUGGAUGAGGUUAGUGGGUCAGAUUCUAUGGGAUUAUGGUUGGUUAGUGGGGAGUUGGGAUGCUAAUAGGAUUUUAUUUUUUUUGAAUUAAAUAAUUUUUAUUUUUAAUUUCCCAAAAGUACUCCUCCUCUUGUUUUGACUUUUUCUUCUCUGUUCUUUCCCUCUUCUCUACAAAAUUCCUUUUCUUCUUCUUUG
RNAcentral lists this long non-coding RNA (452 nucleotides) under Gossypium raimondii (Peruvian cotton). Its description in RNAcentral is "long non-coding RNA (GRAI_LNC007276)". Lineage: Eukaryota; Viridiplantae; Streptophyta; Magnoliopsida; Malvales; Malvaceae. The record is from RNAcentral.